RNAcentral lists this ribosomal RNA (496 nucleotides) under uncultured bacterium. Its description in RNAcentral is "partial 16S ribosomal RNA". It matches the Rfam family "Bacterial small subunit ribosomal RNA", at positions 29 to 507 of the family's 1533-position model. The record is from RNAcentral.
AUGAACGCUGGCGGCGUGCCUAAUACAUGCAAGUCGAGCGAACGGGCGAGAAGCUUGCUUCUCUGAUGUUAGCGGCGGACGGGUGAGUAACACGUGGAUAACCUACCUAUAAGACUGGGAUAACUUCGGGAAACCGUAGCUAAUACCGGAUAAUAUUUUGAACCGCAUGGUUCAAAAGUGAAAGACGGUCUUGCUGUCACUUAUAGAUGGAUCCGCGCUGCAUUAGCUAGUUGGUAAGGUAACGGCUUACCAAGGCAACGAUGCAUAGCCGACCUGAGAGGGUGAUCGGCCACACUGGAACUGAGACACGGUCCAGACUCCUACGGGAGGCAGCAGUAGGGAAUCUUCCGCAAUGGGCGAAAGCCUGACGGAGCAACGCCGCGUGAGUGAUGAAGGUCUUCGGAUCGUAAAACUCUGUUAUUAGGGAAGAACAUAUGUGUAAGUAACUGUGCACAUCUUGACGGUACCUAAUCAGAAAGCCACGGCUAACUACGUG